RNAcentral lists this ribosomal RNA (139 nucleotides) under uncultured bacterium. Its description in RNAcentral is "partial 16S ribosomal RNA". It matches the Rfam family "Bacterial small subunit ribosomal RNA", at positions 355 to 511 of the family's 1533-position model. The record is from RNAcentral.
UGGGGAAUAUUGCACAAUGGGGGAAACCCUGAUGCAGCGACGCCGCGUGAAGGAAGAAGUAUUCGGUAUGUAAACUUCUAUCAGCAGGGAAGAAAAAUGACGGUACCUGACUAAGAAGCCCCGGCUAACUACGUGCCAC